GCCGCGGGGGCCAUUGAUACAGAGGCUUGCUGCGCUUGGUGUGCGCGGCCCGGCCGGGCCUCUGGAAACGCCCAUGAGAAAUGAGCUCAUGCUGGAUGCGCGCGCUCCUUGGGCGCAACUGCCCAGCGCAAAACGGGCCCCGAAAGCAGGGUCUCACUUUGUCCUCCAGGCUGGAGUGCUGCGGCCUCAACCUCCCAGGUUCAAGGGAUCCUGCUGCCUCAGCCCCCCAAGUAGCUAGGACUACAAGGGUGCACCACCACACCCAGCUAAUUUUUGUAUUUUUUGUAUAAAUGGGGUUUCGCCAUGUUGCCCAGACUGGUCUCAAACUCCUGGGCUCAAAAUCUGCGUGCCAUGGCUUCUCAAAACGCUAGGAUUACUGGCGUGAGUCACCAUGCCUGGCCUAUAAUUUGUUAAUAUGGUUGUUACUACAAAGUUUAAAAUAAAUUGCCCAUGCAUUCCUAUUUAUAAUAGGUGAGUGGAGGACACUUCAAUCUAAAGUGAUCUUAAAGGAGGAGUAGUAGGAUUUGAAGAUGAAGAAAGAAGAG
RNAcentral lists this long non-coding RNA (545 nucleotides) under Homo sapiens (human). Its description in RNAcentral is "non-protein coding lnc-NR1I2-1:6". The record is from RNAcentral. Lineage: Eukaryota; Metazoa; Chordata; Mammalia; Primates; Hominidae.